This 175-nucleotide microRNA precursor is filed under the name Cajanus cajan (pigeon pea). RNAcentral describes it as "miRNA gene-KK1_043721". The record is from RNAcentral. Lineage: Eukaryota; Viridiplantae; Streptophyta; Magnoliopsida; Fabales; Fabaceae.
UGCAUAGAUCAAAUCUGUAAAUUUUUAAAAAAUUUGAAAAUCAUUUGAUACUUCGUUUCAUUAAUUCAAAUUAACGGAUAAUCAUAAAAUUAUUUUAUACAUUAUUUUGAAUUAAUGAAAUGAAUUAUCAAAUGAUUUUCAAAUUUUCUAAAAAUUUGCAGAUUUGAUCUAUGAA